CCAUGCAGUCGAACGAUGACGACCGUGCUUGCACGGUCUGAUUAGUGGCGAACGGGUGAGUAACACGUGAGUAACCUGCCCCCCACUCUGGGAUAACCUCGGGAAAUCGGGGCUAAUACCGGAUAUGAGCUCCUGCCGCAUGGUGGGUGCUGGAAAGUUUUUCGGUGGGGGAUGGACUCGCGGCCUAUCAGUUUGUUGGUGAGGUAAUGGCUCACCAAGGCGAUGACGGGUAGCCGGCCUGAGAGGGCGACCGGCCACACUGGGACUGAGACACGGCCCAGACUCCUACGGGAGGCAGCAGUGGGGAAUAUUGCACAAUGGGCGAAAGCCUGAUGCAGCGACGCCGCGUGGGGGAUGACGGCCUUCGGGUUGUAAACCUCUUUCAGUAGGGAAGAAGCGAAAGUGACGGUACCUGCAGAAGAAGCGCCGGCUAACUACGUGCCAGCAGCCGCGGUAAUACGUAGGGCGCAAGCGUUGUCCGGAAUUAUUGGGCGUAAAGAGCUUGUAGGUGGCUUGUCGCGUCUGCCGUGAAAACCCGAGGCUCAACCUCGGGCGUGCGGUGGGUACGGGCAGGCUAGAGUGUGGUAGGGGAGACUGGAACUCCUGGUGUAGCGGUGAAAUGCGCAGAUAUCAGGAAGAACACCGAUGGCGAAGGCAGGUCUCUGGGCCAUUACUGACACUGAGAAGCGAAAGCAUGGGGAGCGAACAGGAUUAGAUACCCUGGUAGUCCAUGCCGUAAACGUUGGGCACUAGGUGUGGGGAACAUUCCACGUUUUCCGCGCCGUAGCUAACGCAUUAAGUGCCCCGCCUGGGGAGUACGGCCGCAAGGCUAAAACUCAAAGGAAUUGACGG
Molecule: ribosomal RNA, 852 nt
Filed under: Brachybacterium squillarum
Lineage: Bacteria; Bacillati; Actinomycetota; Actinomycetes; Micrococcales; Dermabacteraceae
Description: bacterial SSU rRNA
Rfam family: Bacterial small subunit ribosomal RNA
Source: RNAcentral